This 645-nucleotide long non-coding RNA is filed under the name Androctonus crassicauda. Lineage: Eukaryota; Metazoa; Arthropoda; Arachnida; Scorpiones; Buthidae. The record is from RNAcentral.
GGUUUCCUACAGCUGAAGCUAUAGAGAGCCCUAUUCUGAAGCAGUCACACAAUAGAUGCUUCAAUCUAAUAUAUGGAUAUGUCUUAUUCAUAGGCUCUGGCUGCUAAUGCUGUGUCCAUCUACUGCACAUAUGGCUUGCUGCCUUGUGUACAUUAAUCCUGGUAGAAAGAUAAUCCUUAGUUCUGCUUAUGUAUUGUUUAUGACAUUGUAUUGUGUGGUCAUAGAGUGGGAUGUAAUAGAUACCAGAUCUCUUCUCUGGACUAAUAGCAUCCUUAUUGUUUCUAAGCACUGAAAAAAUAGUGGGUUUUCUUCUAUAAAUAAGAUUACAUUAGACACCAUCAGUUGCUCUUCUAAGCACAGUAUCCAGUGAUGGAUUAUAUGUUAUGGUACAAUAUUGUUGGUUUAACUGCACUCCACCAUCUUGAAUUGGGUAUAAAAAUGACAUAGUAUCAAUGGAUGUCAUAGAUUUAGUAAUUUCUUCCCAAUUAACAUGAUCAAUGCAGAUAAAUGAGGCAAAGCUAUUUCUCAGAUAUGUCGACGACCUUUUUGUUAUAUGGGAAGCGGGUAAAGAUGUACAUAGCCUACAAGAGGCUUUCACUCUGCAAUCAUGGGCUGACACUUAAAAUCGACCAGGUGAGCCUAAGC